GUAAUCUUUUUCCAUUGUUUCCAGCUGACAAGCAUAUGGACCUAUUGUUCGAGUCCGUGGUGGUGGAUGCUCUAUCAUAUCAGGAGUCUGUGGUGGUGGAUGCUCUAUCAUAUCAGGAGUCUGUGGUGGUGGAUGCUCUAUCAUAUCAGGAGUCUGUGGUGGUGGAUGCUGUAUCAUAUCAGGAGUCGGUGGUGGUGGAUGCUCUAUCAUAUCAGGAGUCUGACUAAGUACCUGUGCCUGAACCUCUCUGUGUCUAGUUCAAAAGACCUGAAAUAUCUGCUGUAAGCAGGCACAGGUUAAGAUUUUAAAAGAACCUGUAAGGUUGCCUGAUGCUGAACUUCGGGCAGCUGCGUGCUCCGUGGAACAACCGCCUGUGGGAGGAGUCGUUGUGUUGCUAUUAGGAGUUUGGGUUGGAGUCCUGGAUCUAUGGGAAUUCUUUCCUUGAAGCUCCUGAUCACACAACCAUACUGGCAGUCGGCUUAUCCACUACCUUCUGCUCACCCGCUUGCAACUAAUGCUGUCAUUCUCCCAGACUUCUGGUUGUUUCUCCACCAUUCUGCUGUCUCCCGUCUGCGCUACAACUUCAGACCGUAAGUACCUAAACUUUUCCUUUUGUAAGUCAUUCUUUAGUCAUUACUAACACUCAAUUUUACCUCAGGGCCUUCUGAUCUUUAAACACUAAAACCUGUGGCUCCAUCUCUGUGGCGUUUCUCAGUCUCUGUAAGCUACCUGCACAGUCUAAGAAAAACCUGACCUGUUGCCUCUUACUAACCUCUGCUCUUCCUCGCAGAAGCUUCUGGUUCCUGAUCUCCAGCUGUUACCUCUUCAGUCAUUCAUCAAACAUUGUAAUAAACUGUUUUUAGCUCAUUUGUCUCCUGAGUUUCUCUGCAUGAAGGUCAGGUUGUUGCAAAAAAUCAUGACAUCAGCAAUUACUUUGCACCACUCUGUUAAACAGCUGAUAUUAAUUUCAAGUGUAUCUUUAAAAAUACAUUGAAUGUCAAAGUGAAUGAAAGGCAUCCAUUUAGCUUUCGGUGUCUAAUGCAGGAUUUUAUGGACAGGCACCAAAACAGGAAAUUUAUAAAUUGAGAUUUAUUUACUAAAUCAGGUAAACCAUAAUAAAAUACUAAUGUUUAAAGUCCGGAGGAGGGAGGAAGGCUUUAUAGCAGGGGUAUUCAAUUCUAGUCCUGGAUGGCUGGUAUCCAGCACGUUUUAGUUGUUUCCCUGCUCCAACACACUUGAAUCAGUGGUUGAAUUACUUGUGCAGCAGCUCUGCAGAAGCCCGUUAAUUAUCUGCUGACUGAAAUCAGGUGUGUUGAAACAGAGUUCAAACUAAAACGUGCUGGAUACCGGCCCUCCAGGCCCAGACGUAAAUACCCCUGCUUUAUAGGCACAGAGAACUCCCAUCGGGAUCCUGGAGACGGCACAAGGAGAUGACGACAUGAGUGUGCCCUCCCAGAUCACACCAACACCACCUGACCACAUGGAGGCAUGUGUCUGUAAGAAAGAAAAACUGGUGAUGUAAGAGAUUAAACAAAAACUACGAACAAAAUCAAUUUUACAGUUGUUUAACCUGCUGAGCAUUACCUCCCCAAAGAGCAGCACAAAGGUGCAACUGGCUCAGAACCAGGGUGCUCCGUAAUGCAGGUGGUCACCUCCUCCUGCUGACGCCCGAGGAUUACCUACAACAAAGGGAAAACUGAUAUCAAUAAGGAAAUAAUUAAAUCAGAGCUAAAAGUUUAAUUUUAGUGUGACGUUUGAGAUUGUGGGAAAUAAAUGUGGACAUUAUGAUUUUCUAUUGUGGGGUCAGUACCUUGGGCGUUUCUCCGUAGCAACAUUUUGUCUGGCUGACAGUGAAGUAGAAAAGUCACCAGUUGAGGCAGAGUUAGACUAUAUUACUCCAGCUAAGCUAAAUGUAGCUAAACUAGACACUAGUCACCAGACUAUGGCUACUAUAGAUUUACUAGAGAGUUACAUCAUAUAAUCCAUUCGUUUCACUGAAAAAGGAGCAGGCAGAACUAUGAACUUGUUUAGUCCGUCCAAGUAACAUGGAAUAAAAAAUACAUGUAUCUGUAUGUAAAUGUAGUUUAACAGUCUUCCCAC
Molecule: non-coding RNA, 2100 nt
Organism: Nothobranchius furzeri (turquoise killifish)
Lineage: Eukaryota; Metazoa; Chordata; Actinopteri; Cyprinodontiformes; Nothobranchiidae
Source: RefSeq, a predicted model, not a curated record